Molecule: long non-coding RNA, 521 nt
Organism: Neopsephotus bourkii (Bourke's parrot)
Lineage: Eukaryota; Metazoa; Chordata; Aves; Psittaciformes; Psittacidae
Exons: 2
Source: RefSeq, a predicted model, not a curated record
GACGGGGCGCCGGGCUAUGGGGCCGGGCGGGCUUGCGGGCCGCCUCCCCGAGGGCUGAGGGGAGCGGAGCGGAGAGUUCGGUGGGGCUGUCCGUGGAGACUCGGCGCGCCUCUUCGCCGGGCUGGAAGGUAUCUGAUGGAAAUACAAUACAGAAGAGGAAAAAUGGUCUAGAAGGUUGCUGGAGUGUGUGGCACAACUGGUGAGUGAGCCAACUAGAGAAGGAGCCUGGUUGAUAGAGCCCCCCGGCAGGAGGCCUGAAGGGCAAAGGAGUCCAGGAAGGCUGGACAUUCUGCAAGAAGGAAAUCUUCAAGGCACAGGAGCAGCCCAUCCCCAUGUGCUGAGAGAUGGGCUGGCAGGGAUGAAGACUGGCCUGGCUGAACAGAGAGCUUUGGCUGGAACUCAGGACAAAAAGGAGUUUAUGACUUUUGGAAGGAGGUGCAGACUGAUCAGGAGGACUAUAAGGAUGCCAUGAAGUUAUGCAGCAAGAGAAUUAAAAGUGCUGAAGGCCAACUAAAACUUAA